Molecule: ribosomal RNA, 645 nt
Filed under: uncultured bacterium
Lineage: Bacteria
Description: bacterial SSU rRNA
Rfam family: Bacterial small subunit ribosomal RNA
Source: RNAcentral
CCGCGUGCGGGAAGAAGGCCUUCGGGUUGUAAACCGCUUUCAGCAGGAACGAAAAUGACGGUACCUGCAGAAGAAGGUGCGGCCAACUACGUGCCAGCAGCCGCGGUGACACGUAGGCACCAAGCGUUGUCCGGAUUUAUUGGGCGUAAAGAGCUCGUAGGCGGUUCAGUAGUCGGGUGUGAAAACUCUGGGCUUAACCCAGAGCCUGCACCCGAAACUGCUGUGACUAGAGUUCGGUAGGGGAGCGGGGAAUUCCUGGUGUAGCGGUGAAAUGCGCAGAUAUCAGGAGGAACACCGGUGGCGAAGGCGCCGCUCUGGGCCGAAACUGACGCUGAGGAGCGAAAGCGUGGGUAGCAAACAGGAUUAGAUACCCUGGUAGUCCACGCCGUAAACGUUGGGCACUAGGUGUGGGUCUCAACCAACGAGAUCCGCGCCGUCGCUAACGCAUUAAGUGCCCCGACUGGGGAGUACGGUCGCAAGACUAAAACUCAAAGGAAUUGACGGGGGCCCGCACAAGCAGCGGAGCGUGUUGCUUAAUUCGAUGCUACGCGAAGAAGCUUACCUGGGUUCAAUCAUCGUGAAAAGCCACAGAGAUGUGGUGUCCGAAAGGGCGCGAUGAAGGUGGUGCAUGGCUGUCGUCAGCUC